CUACGGGACGCUGCAGUGAGGAAUAUUGCACAAUGGGGGGAACCCUGAUGCAGCAACGCCGCGUGGAGGAUGACGCAUUUCGGUGUGUAAACUCCUUUUAUAUGUCAAGAAAAUGACGGUAGCAUAUGAAUAAGCACCGGCUAACUCCGUGCCAGCAGCCGCGGUAAUACGGAGGGUGCAAGCGUUACUCGGAAUCACUGGGCGUAAAGGACGCGUAGGCGGGUUGGAAAGUCAGGUGUGAAAUCCUACAGCUUAACUGUAGAACUGCACUUGAAACUUCUAAUCUAGAGUAUGGGAGGGGGAGAUGGAAUUAGUGGUGUAGGGGUAAAAUCCGUAGAUAUCACUAGGAAUACCUAAAGCGAAGGCGAUCUCCUGGAACAUUAUUGACGCUCAGAUGCGAAAGCGUGGGGAGCAAACAGGAUUAGAUACCCUAGUAGUC
RNAcentral lists this ribosomal RNA (439 nucleotides) under uncultured bacterium. Its description in RNAcentral is "partial 16S ribosomal RNA". It matches the Rfam family "Bacterial small subunit ribosomal RNA", at positions 339 to 795 of the family's 1533-position model. The record is from RNAcentral.